This 425-nucleotide ribosomal RNA is filed under the name uncultured bacterium. RNAcentral describes it as "partial 16S ribosomal RNA". It matches the Rfam family "Bacterial small subunit ribosomal RNA", at positions 354 to 796 of the family's 1533-position model. The record is from RNAcentral.
GUGGGGAAUCUUAGACAAUGGGCGCAAGCCUGAUCUAGCCAUGCCGCGUGAGCGAUGAAGGCCUUAGGGUUGUAAAGCUCUUUCGUGGGGGAAGAUAAUGACUGUACCCCAAGAAGAAGCCUCGGCUAACUCCGUGCCAGCAGCCGCGGUAAUACGGAGGGGGCUAGCGUUGUUCGGAAUUACUGGGCGUAAAGCGCACGUAGGCGGACCAGAAAGUCAGAGGUGAAAGCCCGGGGCUCAACCCCGGAACUGCCUUUGAAACUCCUGGUCUUGAGGUCGAGAGAGGUGGGUGGAAUUCCGAGUGUAGAGGUGAAAUUCGUAGAUAUUCGGAGGAACACCAGUGGCGAAGGCGGCCCACUGGCUCGAUACUGACGCUGAGGUGCGAAAGCGUGGGGAGCAAACAGGAUUAGAAACCCUUGUAGUCC